GUAGUUCAGUGGUAGAACACCACCUUGCCAAGGUGGGGGUCGCGGGUUCGAAUCCCGUC
This 59-nucleotide transfer RNA is filed under the name Bacillus subtilis. RNAcentral describes it as "tRNA-Gly". It matches the Rfam family "tRNA", at positions 7 to 64 of the family's 71-position model. Rfam says of the family: Transfer RNA (tRNA) molecules are approximately 80 nucleotides in length. Their secondary structure includes four short double-helical elements and three loops (D, anti-codon, and T loops). The record is from RNAcentral. Lineage: Bacteria; Bacillati; Bacillota; Bacilli; Caryophanales; Bacillaceae.